UACGUAGGGCGCAAGCGUUGUCCGGAAUUAUUGGGCGUAAAGAGCUCGUAGGUGGCUUGUCACGUCGGGUGUGAAAGCUUGGGGCUUAACUCCGGGCCUGCAGUCGAUACGGGCUGGCUUGAGUGCGGUAGGGGAGACUGGAAUUCCUGGUGUAGCGGUGAAAUGCGCAGAUAUCAGGAGGAACACCGGUGGCGAAGGCGGGUCUCUGGGCCGUAACUGACGCUGAGGAGCGAAAGCGUGGGGAGCGAACAGG
Molecule: ribosomal RNA, 253 nt
Filed under: uncultured bacterium
Lineage: Bacteria
Description: partial 16S ribosomal RNA
Rfam family: Bacterial small subunit ribosomal RNA
Source: RNAcentral